RNAcentral lists this ribosomal RNA (431 nucleotides) under Opheltes glaucopterus. RNAcentral's name for it is "partial 16S ribosomal RNA". The record is from RNAcentral. Lineage: Eukaryota; Metazoa; Arthropoda; Insecta; Hymenoptera; Ichneumonidae.
GGUUUUUUGAUUUUAAUUUAAAAUUUGAUNUGCUCAAUGAGAUAUUUAAAUAGCUGCGGUAUUUUGACCGUGCAAAGGUAGCAUAAUCAAUAGUUUUUUAAAUGAAAGCUGGAAUGAAUGAUUUGAUGAAAUAUAAGCUGUCUCAAAAUUAUUAAAAUAUAUAAUUUUUUUUUUAGUUAAAAAACUAAAAUGAUGUUAAAAGACGAGAAGACCCUAUAGAUUUUUAUUAUAUAAAUUUGAAUUUGAAUUUAAAUUACUGAAUUUAUAAAUUAUAUAAUUUAAUUGGGGUGAUUUUUAAAUUAAUUAAACUUUAAUUAAAAUUUACAAUAAUUAUUGAAUUAUAGAUCUUAAAGUUUAGAUUAUAAGAUUAAAAUACCUUAGGGAUAACAGCGUAAUUUUUUUAGAUAGAUCAUAUUGAUAAAAAAGAUUGC